GCUAAAUAUCAUAAAGAGAACUGAUUGCUCGCUCAGACCUGUGAAACCCAGGAGAGCAGAGAGCAGGCCUCCAACUCUGCAGUGUGACCGACCCAGUCUGCGAUGGACCAGAGGGUGACCAGCCCAGGAAGCAGACACCUGCAGGACGGUUGAAGCACUGGGACGCCAGCAGAUCCACGAGCAAAGGGGACCGCAGGAAUGGACACACCCGCC
Molecule: long non-coding RNA, 213 nt
Filed under: Fukomys damarensis (Damara mole-rat)
Lineage: Eukaryota; Metazoa; Chordata; Mammalia; Rodentia; Bathyergidae
Description: lncRNA (ENSFDAG00000026102.1)
Source: RNAcentral